This 465-nucleotide ribosomal RNA is filed under the name uncultured bacterium. Its description in RNAcentral is "partial 16S ribosomal RNA". It matches the Rfam family "Bacterial small subunit ribosomal RNA", at positions 28 to 507 of the family's 1533-position model. The record is from RNAcentral.
GACGAACGCUGGCGGCGUGCUUAACACAUGCAAGUCGAACGGAAAGGCCCCUUUGGGGGUACUCGAGUGGCGAACGGGUGAGUAACACGUGAGUAACCUGCCCUUGACUUCGGGAUAACUUCAGGAAACUGGGGCUAAUACCGGAUAGGAAUCCUUGCUGCAUGGUGGGGGUUGGAAAGCUUCGGCGGUUUUGGAUGGACUCGCGGCUUAUCAGCUUGUUGGUGGGGUAGUGGCUUACCAAGGCUUUGACGGGUAGCCGGCCUGAGAGGGCGACCGGCCACAUUGGGACUGAGAGACGGCCCAGACUCCUACGGGAGGCAGCAGUGGGGAAGAUUGCACAAUGGGCGGAAGCCUGAUGCAGCAACGCCGCGUGCGGGAUGACGGCCUUCGGGUUGUAAACCGCUUUCAGCAGGGGCGAAGCUUGUGGUGACGGUACCUGCAGAAGAAGCACCGGCUAACUACGUG